Molecule: unclassified non-coding RNA, 2678 nt
Filed under: Cyanidioschyzon merolae strain 10D
Lineage: Eukaryota; Rhodophyta; Bangiophyceae; Cyanidiales; Cyanidiaceae
Description: hypothetical transcript
Source: RNAcentral
AAUAGAGAAGUGGCUCGCGCCCAUGAGAUCGUUGUUCGACAAGUCCCUCUUUGUUUUCUUCGCCAUGAACUGCUUUGUUGCAUCUCUUGCGGUUCGUGUGAGCGAGCGAGGAGGUGCGCCUCGGCUCAUGCUUGUGCUUGCCACGGAAGCACUGACGAAAGUGUACUCGGAGCGAAUUAGAUACAUAGAUCCAUCGAGCGGGCGAAUGGCAGUGCUAGAAUCCACCUAGUUUGUCUGAAUCCCGACGAAAAACCUGGAUAUGGAAUAUAGCGGCAACAGUUCUGCCGCCGCGCCAAGUCAAGGAGAAGGGCGAGGGACCACCAGACAAGGAAGCGGAAGAGCCUUCAGAAAACGGGACGAAGUGGUACAGGAAGGAAAGCUGUCGGAGCGGAAAUAUCAGUCUGAAACCGUUGCCAAGGUCUCCCGACAAACACACUUCAACGGGGAGGCUCUUCCAAAACGCGAAAUCCGGGACGUCGUGAAGGCUCGAGAAGCUCCUUACCCGAAUAAUGCGCGCCUAGCCUCUCUCGUCUUGAGCCGCCUGGUCAAGCAACGGUCUGCGGAAGUUCCGACAUAGGACUCCAUGGUGUCCACGUUCUUCUGGAGUUCCUCGAUGAAGACUUCGCGCGACGACGCGCAACUGAUGCUCUGAACGCAAUAUGCAGCACGGCCUGAUUGUAGGACGAGCGGCUACACACAUGAAUCGCAGAAUGCUUUGACGCGUCGUCGCUGUAUGUGGGCAACGAAAGAAAGCUACCGCGCUGUGCCAAAAAGUAUCAAACUAUCGUCAAAAACCGAAGAAAAUAUGCGGCCACUCUCGAGCGCUUCAUGAACCGCACCCUGUGGGCGAUGUACCCUCAAUUCACUGACCCAGGAAAGAGGGGACUGAUGGAUGAGUUUCUAGCGGUAUCUUUAUAGUUAAAAGGCGAGCUGCUCUGGGCGGACGAGAUGGAGUUCGUAGCAAGCGCAGAAGGGAAAACGCAACGAUCGCGAGAGCCGACUGUGGGGGCGCAGGCUCAUCGUAUUGCUCGCGGGGUCGGACCGACGCACGACCCAUAGAGGGGAUGGUUGAAAUGUGAUGCCUAGCUUCCUUGCAUACGAGCUACUGCGCUUUCUUCGAGGAAGCCCUCCAUAGCAACGCAAACUCCCUCACUGUGUGCGAGCGCCUAAGACUCCUCAAGCGUCCGUUCGAAGUACUCCCAUAUUUCAUAUCAAGGCCUGCCAUGUUACCGUAGGCAUAUUCGUUUCAUACUAGAUAGUUUCCGCGGCGAGCUAUGCCUCCUCUCUUCCGGUAAUUACGAAGCUUUCGAUCAGCUUCGUAUGGAGCAUUGCCGGAGCUCCCUCAGGGUUGCUUCGUUACGGGGAGGAAAUGGAAAGAAUUUUACAGGGGCGACGGAGACCUACGGGAUACCAGGCUGCAUGCACGUUGUGAAACCCUGAGCUGAGCCGAGCAACAAGACUCGUUCUCAAUCGUGCAUGGUAGCUUACGGGACAGUCUUUGUGGCGGGCGUGGAUCCCUGUAUGAAGAACGCCGUAGCUUCCGCCGUGCCCCUAAAUUGAAAGGACGCAUGCAAACAGCUGUGCGGCAAUCAGAUGGAGCAACUCAGCUUCUCCGGGGCUCGGCAUUAUCGCGAGCCGGGCAUGGUCGACUCAACGAGGCGUACCGGCACGCGGAAUGACGGCUUCAGGGCCCAUCCCGACGUUCUGCGCGCCGGAUUGACCAGAAACGGAUCCCCCGUGCGCUUGAUUCAGAGAGUGCCUGAGUGUCCAAAUGUCGUAUACGAACGAACAUUGGCCGGGUACUUGAAACAGCGCUGGGGUCGCCAACAUCUACCGAUUUGUAUAUGCAGGAAUCGUGAGAAUAUACUAGUUCAGUGAGUUAGAAAAGUAAAUGGCCGACAAGUCGCGUGGUUUUGUGUUAGUCUAUGGCGCUGGAGGUGCUGGGGCGCGUGCGGGCUGCUCUCCCUCUCCUUCGACGGGAGCGUACAACGCGUGCAGGAACCGAUUAGUACGAUUUACAUCGAUGCGCUUUGGACGGCAUAGAUCCAUCACGUGCGAAGGCGUAGGCUGCAGCAUCUGGAGAAGGCGAGAUUGAAACAGAGUCGGAUGCCACGAGAUCUUGGGCGGCAAGCUGACCGAACGUCGCAUUGCGAGGCAAUCGAAAGUGAGAAGCUCGUCAUAGUGUGAUAUCGCCAGCAACAGUGCACGGAAGCACGUUCUCCGCCGAGCCGGACGGGCCAAUCAACAACCCGAAAUGUUUGCUGGUCCUGGAGCGUACAGCGAGCUUGUGUCGAGCGAGCUUUGGUGGGAGUAUUGCAGUGCCCGUUGUGGGCAUCGUGCUGAAAUGGCGAGGACUUGCGAUAGACCCAAUUCAGUGGCCAAGAGGGGCGGCGCUGAAAUCCCGCCUGGAGCAGGGCACUUGCAUGGCAUGGUUCAGAGUCCGGGAAAGCUGGAGAGGCAUAUGGAUACACUAGGAAUGGUUUUCCUGGGUCGUUGGUGAAGGGUAAUCGUGUUCUAUUUUUUGUGAUAUUUCUGAGUGUGUUCUGCGUCGAGAGCGCGCGAGCUGAGGAGCGGGAUGCACCCUGAUGUAACUCACUUCUUCAGUGGGCUACCGCUUUCGUAACAAAAGUUUUUUGAUGGUCUGUUUUAAUCCUAUAUCAUUAAAUCACAAGCGACCU